Molecule: ribosomal RNA, 170 nt
Filed under: Solms-laubachia jafrii
Lineage: Eukaryota; Viridiplantae; Streptophyta; Magnoliopsida; Brassicales; Brassicaceae
Description: 5.8S ribosomal RNA
Rfam family: 5.8S ribosomal RNA
About the family: 5.8S ribosomal RNA (5.8S rRNA) is a component of the large subunit of the eukaryotic ribosome. It is transcribed by RNA polymerase I as part of the 45S precursor that also contains 18S and 28S rRNA.
Source: RNAcentral
AAGUCUAAAACGACUCUCGGCAACGGAUAUCUCGGCUCUCGCAUCGAUGAAGAACGUAGCGAAAUGCGAUACUUGGUGUGAAUUGCAGAAUCCCGUGAACCAUCGAGUCUUUGAACGCAAGUUGCGCCCCAAGCCUUCGGGCCGAAGGCACGUCUGCCUGGGUGUCACAA